UACACAAAAGCUUUAUGUAGUGAAGCGCUAGUCUUUUAAUCUAGAGAUGAGUAAGAACUCUUGUGUAG
Molecule: transfer RNA, 68 nt
Filed under: Degeeriella rufa
Lineage: Eukaryota; Metazoa; Arthropoda; Insecta; Psocodea; Philopteridae
Description: tRNA-Lys
Source: RNAcentral